ACCAUAUAAUUGACAAUGUUGUUUAAAUUCCAUACCCAACUUUUCUGUGCGACGGCGUAGUGUAAACUUCAGGGUAGCUACAGUAUACACAUUUCUGAUUUCACUUCUGGAAGUGGAUAUUUUUUACAGCUGAAGUCAAGUAUAAAAAUAUUUCUAUAAUAUUUCUUUAGAUUCUGCCACAUUAUUUUUGUAUGGCAUUAAACGAUUAUUGAUUUGAUGAGGAAAUGUGUUUUGAUGUCUGUGUGCUUGUUCAUGAGUUUUAUCUGCACAAUAUGAUUGCAGUUGCUGUAUGGAGAAGACUCCUCUCUUGCUGAUGUUUUUGGACACCUAGAACGGAACAGGAAUCAACUGGGGAUAGCAGAAUACAGCUUAAGCCAAUCAACACUAGAAACUAUUUUUAACCAUUUUGCUGCAAACCCAUAGUUAUUUUUAUUUUGUCGCCAUAAUACUUUUGUUAAUGUUCAACAGAGAGGAAUGGGUCCCCAAGUUAUUGUCAGGUGGAUCAGUCUCUCUUAUAGUAAAAGAAUCAAGAUGUAUAGGAAGGAAAAA
This is a long non-coding RNA of Telopea speciosissima, 549 nucleotides long. RefSeq lists it as uncharacterized. Lineage: Eukaryota; Viridiplantae; Streptophyta; Magnoliopsida; Proteales; Proteaceae. The record is from RefSeq and is a predicted model, not a curated record. The transcript has 2 exons.